GAUGAACGCUGGCGGCGUGCCUAAUACAUGCAAGUCGAGCGAACAGACGAGGAGCUUGCUCCUCUGACGUUAGCGGCGGACGGGUGAGUAACACGUGGAUAACCUACCUAUAAGACUGGGAUAACUUCGGGAAACCGGAGCUAAUACCGGAUAAUAUAUUGAACCGCAUGGUUCAAUAGUGAAAGACGGUUUUGCUGUCACUUAUAGAUGGAUCCGCGCCGCAUUAGCUAGUUGGUAAGGUAACGGCUUACCAAGGCAACGAUGCGUAGCCGACCUGAGAGGGGUGUCGGCCACACUGGAACCUAGACACGGGUCCGACCCCCACCGGAGGGAGGAGUAGGGGAUUCUUCCGAAAGGGCCGAAGGCUUGCCGAGCAAAGCCGCGGGGGGUAUGAAGGGUUUUCGAUUGGUAAACCUCUGUUAUAGGGAAAAAAAAAUUGUGAAAGUACCAAGGACCGUUUUACCGGUACCAAAUCAAAAGCCCCCGCCUACCUCCGU
RNAcentral lists this ribosomal RNA (497 nucleotides) under uncultured bacterium. RNAcentral's name for it is "partial 16S ribosomal RNA". It matches the Rfam family "Bacterial small subunit ribosomal RNA", at positions 28 to 506 of the family's 1533-position model. The record is from RNAcentral.